GAAAUAAGGAGUUACGGGAAGGAGAGGAUGAGAAAGGGCAUUAAAGAAGUCCUUGUUGAUUGGCAGCCUUGCCCAGUUUGUGGGAAGGAGUGGGCCAGGUCCUGGCAGCCAAAAGAUUUGAAUUAGUCCCCCUGCCCUCUUCAAAUAAAAACAUAUUUUCAGUCUUUCUAGAAUGUGGUGCUA
Gadus chalcogrammus (walleye pollock) is the source of this 183-nucleotide long non-coding RNA. RefSeq lists it as uncharacterized. The transcript has 3 exons. The record is from RefSeq and is a predicted model, not a curated record. NCBI's taxonomy places the organism in Eukaryota, Metazoa, Chordata, Actinopteri, Gadiformes, Gadidae.